CCUACGGGAGGCAGCAGUGGGGAAUUUUGCGCAAUGGGCGAAAGCCUGACGCAGCAACGCCGCGUGAGGGAUGAAGGCCUUCGGGUCGUAAACCUCUGUCAGAGGGGAAGAACCGCCAACAGGAUAAUACCCUGUUGGUCUGACGGUACCCUCAAAGGAAGCACCGGCUAACUCCGUGCCAGCAGCCGCGGUAAU
RNAcentral lists this ribosomal RNA (195 nucleotides) under uncultured bacterium. RNAcentral describes it as "partial 16S ribosomal RNA". It matches the Rfam family "Bacterial small subunit ribosomal RNA", at positions 338 to 524 of the family's 1533-position model. The record is from RNAcentral.